AUAUAACUUUCUCUCUCAAAUGUUUCUCUCUCUACUAGCAGAUUUUCUUUGAAAUCUCUUCUCUCUCGCUGCUAACGAUUGUCUCUCUCGGUGUUAUCGAUCCUCUCUCUCGCGUAGAUUUCGUCUACUGAUGCUCUAUCUUCUUCGCAUCACAUCUUCGUCAGCUGUAGAAAUCGAAAUCAAAAACAGUUUUGGAGGUGUUGAUUUAUAAUCUGUGUACGAUGAUAACAAAGAUCUCAUCAAAAUCAGUGAUAAUCAAGGUUAUGAUCGAAAGGAUCCAGGAUCAGAGAGAAUUUGAAGAAGGUGAAACCUUGAGAUAACCCCAAGGAUUUAAGCUUGAGGGCGCAUUUGAGCAAUCGCGAUAUAGAUGGAGAUAUUAAUACCACAAUUCUGAAGUAAGAAUUUACUACAUGUAAUGUGUUGUUUUAACUUUGAUCUUAAUGUUCCUGUUGCUGGAUUAGGAAUGUCGUGUUGCAUACUUGUUGAGAAGAUAUUAGAUUUUAUAACGUACUUGUAUCUUAUUGCGUUCCAGGAAGAACAUCUCAGUGGAUCUGAAGUUACUAUGUCAAGUUCAGAGACGGGCUCUGAACAUAAUACAACUCGAGUGCUUGGCAUGACAAAUUUUAAUAUCACAAAAGAUGGUAAAAGCUUCCUAUCUUCUCUAGGUCAGUCCCCACUGGCUUGGAGGUCAAAACCUGAUGCGUCUGCAGAAAUCUAUGACGAAAGGCUGGGAUCACAAUCUGAAUGGUCAGGAGGUUCUCUUCUGGAUGCAAGUACAGAUGAUUCGCUAAACAGUCCACGUGAGGCUCUUCUAGGUGAGAGGUCUCAGGACACUUCAGAGAUUUGAUUGAGAAGCUUAAAGCUGAGCUUGCUGGCAGGUAGAACUUUCAGAGUUAGAAUUACAGACCUUGCGUAAGAGUAUUGUGAAGGAGAGCAAAAGGACACAAGAUCUUUAAAAAGAAGUUUCUAGCCUGAAGUAAGAGCGAGAUUCAUUCAAAGAAGAGUGUGAAAUAGCUAAACUACGAAACAAAUUUGAAUAUAAAAGAGGUGACCCUCGGGCUUUUCUUGAAGAACUGAGGCAAGAAAUGAAUCAUGAGAAGGAUCUCAAUGCAAAUCUUCGUAUACAACUUCAAAAGACACAAGAAUCAAACAAUGAGUUGAUUCUUGCUGUGCAAGACCUCGAUGAAAUGUUGGAAGAGAAGAACAAGGAGAUACCGGGCCUUUCAAACAGAUCAGCAACAACUGGAAAUGCAAAAACCA
Long non-coding RNA from Daucus carota subsp. sativus, 1260 nucleotides. RefSeq lists it as uncharacterized. The transcript is spliced from 3 exons. Lineage: Eukaryota; Viridiplantae; Streptophyta; Magnoliopsida; Apiales; Apiaceae. The record is from RefSeq and is a predicted model, not a curated record.